This 1302-nucleotide ribosomal RNA is filed under the name uncultured bacterium. RNAcentral describes it as "bacterial SSU rRNA". It matches the Rfam family "Bacterial small subunit ribosomal RNA", at positions 28 to 1381 of the family's 1533-position model. The record is from RNAcentral.
GAUGAACGCUGGCGGUGUGCCUUAGGCAUGCAAGUCGAACGGGAGUCCCACUUCGGUGGGACAAGAGUGGCAGACGGGUGAGUAACGCGUAGGAACUUACCUUCAAGUGGGGAAUAGCUAUCCGAAAGGAUAGGUAAUACCGCAUGUGAUCGCAAGAUUAAAGACUUCGGUCGCUUGAAGAGAGGCCUGCGAGCUAUCAGCUAGUUGGUGAGGUAAUAGCUCACCAAGGCAAUGACGGCUAGCCGAUGUGAGAGCAUGAUCGGCCACAAGGUCACUGAGACACGGGGCCUACACCUACGGGUGGCAGCAACCGGGAAUAUUGCGCAAUGGACGAAAGUCUGACGCAGCGACACCGCGUGUGGGAUGAAGCUUUUCGGAGUGUAAACCACUGUGGCAGGGGAAUAAAUUUUGAAGGUACCCUGCUAGAAAGCACCUGCUAACCACGUGCCAGAAGCCUCGGUAAUACGUGGGGUGCAAGCGUUAUCCGGAUUUACUGGGCGUAAAGCGUACCGUCGGCGGUUUGACAAGUUGCUCGUUUAAACCCGAGGCUCAACUUCGGAUCAGCGAGCAAAACUGUCAAACUUGAGUCUGUUCGGGGUAACUAGAAUUCUCUGUGGAGGGGUGAAAUCCGUAGAUAUAGAGAGGAAUGCCAAGCGCGAAAGCAGGUUACUAGGACAAGACUGACGCUCAUGGACGAAAGCUAGGGUAGCAAACGGGAUUAGAGACCCCGGUAGUCCUAGCCGUAAACACUCCUUGCUAGUUGUUUCCCACGCAUGUGGGGAGUGACGUAAGCUAACGCGUUAAGCAAGGCGCCUGGGGAGUACGACCGCAAGGUUAAAACUCAAAGGAAUUGACGGGGGAGCGCACAACCGGUGGAGCAUGUGGUUUAAUUCGAUACAAAGCGAAAAACCUUACCCAGACUUGACAUCUACCUAUGUUCUCUGGAAACAGAUGAUCUUAGUGGUAUGACAGGUGAUGCAUGGCUGUCGUCAGCUCGUGUCGUGAGACGUCCUCUUAAGUGAGGUAACGAGCGCAACCCUUGUCCUGUGUUAUAUUUGUCACAGGAGACUGCCCUACUUAUAGUGGGGAGGAAGGAGAGGAUGACGUCAAGUCAGCAUGUCCCUUACGUCUGGGGCUACACACAUCCUACAAUGGAAUGGACAACAGGUAGCAAAGCCGCAAGGCCAAGCCAAUCCCUAAACCAUUUCUCAGUUCGGAUUGAGGGCUGCAACCCGCCCUCAUGAAGUCGGAAUCGGUAGUAAUCGCAAAUCAGCAGGUUGCGGUGAAUACGUUCUCGCUCCU